ACUUGCCCAUGUGCCACGGAGCGGGAUUGAACCCGGAAGGAUAUUGUUGCUAAGCAAGAACUUAUAACGCAGCCACCAUACAUAGACACGUACACACGCACCAACAAGUUAGUAUCGCCAUCUAUAGGAGAAUUAAAGAAAUACAAUCGUACGAAGGGAAGUAACUUCUACAACACAACUUCCCUUAAUUUAUUAAUUAGUGCAUUUAAUUAGCGAUCAUUGGACUCGUAUUUUAUAUCCGAAUACGAAUAUCCCACCUUGUUGAUGUCAAAGAAAUUUCUUCAUUGAGAUCUACCUUUGAUAGUUUUAUCAACUUUCAUCAACUAAAGGAAGACGAUAUAUUUAUAAGGAGCCUUCAUCAAUACAUCAAUCUCUUUAUAUAAAUAAUAUCCAUGA
This is a long non-coding RNA of Octopus sinensis (East Asian common octopus), 396 nucleotides long. RefSeq lists it as uncharacterized. Lineage: Eukaryota; Metazoa; Mollusca; Cephalopoda; Octopoda; Octopodidae. The transcript has 2 exons. The record is from RefSeq and is a predicted model, not a curated record.